AACGAACGCUGGCGGCAUGCCUAACACAUGCAAGUCGAACGAGACCUUCGGGUCUAGUGGCGCACGGGUGCGUAACGCGUGGGAACCUGCCUUUAGGUUCGGAAUAACUCAGAGAAAUUUGAGCUAAUACCGGAUAAUGUCUUCGGACCAAAGAUUUAUCGCCUUUAGAUGGGCCCGCGUAAGAUUAGCUAGUUGGUGGGGUAAAGGCCUACCAAGGCGACGAUCUUUAGCUGGUCUGAGAGGAUGAUCAGCCACACUGGGACUGAGACACGGCCCAGACUCCUACGGGAGGCAGCAGUGGGGAAUAUUGGACAAUGGGCGAAAGCCUGAUCCAGCAAUGCCGCGUGAGUGAUGAAGGCCUUAGGGUUGUAAAAGCUCUUUUACCCGAGAUGAUAAUGACAGUAUCGGAGAAUAAGCUCCGGCUAACUCCGUGCCAGCAGCCGCGGUAAU
RNAcentral lists this ribosomal RNA (450 nucleotides) under uncultured bacterium. RNAcentral describes it as "bacterial SSU rRNA". It matches the Rfam family "Bacterial small subunit ribosomal RNA", at positions 29 to 524 of the family's 1533-position model. The record is from RNAcentral.